RNAcentral lists this ribosomal RNA (323 nucleotides) under uncultured eukaryote. Its description in RNAcentral is "partial 18S ribosomal RNA". It matches the Rfam family "Eukaryotic small subunit ribosomal RNA", at positions 1470 to 1796 of the family's 1831-position model. The record is from RNAcentral.
CCCUUAGAUGUUCUGGGCUGCACGCGUGCUACACUGAUAUUGCCAAUAUGUCAUUCUUAUCCGAAAUGGAUUGGGUAAUCAAGUAAUGAAAUUUCAUGCUUGGAAUCGGUAAUUGCAAUUUUAUCGUGAACGAGGAAUUCCUAGUAAGCACUAGUCAUCAGCUAAUGUUGAUUAUGUCCCUGCCCUUUGUACUCACCGCCCGUCGCUACUACUGAUUGGGUGUUCAAGUGAGAUGCUUAGACCCUUGUUGCAUGGUUCAUUAUUGUGCUCCGAAAGGAAAAAGUUUCAAGCUUGAGUGUCUAGAGGAAGUAAAAGUCGUAACA